UCCCUUUUCAAAACUCUCGUUCUCUUCUUCCUUUCUUUCAUUUUCUGAAAACCCUAUUUUUCGCUCUACACUUUCAAAUUCUAACUUCAUUUCACGAAGAGAUGUUGGAGAAGCACAAGGCUUUUGCUUUUGGUCUUCAUUUGCUAUGAAAUAUGCAGAUGCGUUGGCUUCUAUCAAGAAAGGAGACCGAAGUCACCUUCAUCUUCAACGUCGAUCAUCCUAAAAGUUUUCACCAUUUUUGAUCGUCAAUAAGGUAGAGGGUCCUCAAUGUGUGCAAAUAAGGGUGGGGUGACACAAACAAUCUCAUCCCUUGUUUGGCAAAGACUACUGAAGGUUAAUUAUUUGUUUCCAAAAUGUUGCUUUCCAACUUUAUUUCAUUUUCUAAUAUUUAUUUUUAAAUCAAAUUAAGGUAAAACAUGCGCUAAAACAAUGCUAAUUAAAAAAUAAAUAAAUAUUUUGCAUUACAAGUUUCAUAUUUUUGCAAGUAUGGUUUUUAAAAUUU
Long non-coding RNA from Vitis vinifera (wine grape), 502 nucleotides. RefSeq lists it as uncharacterized. The record is from RefSeq and is a predicted model, not a curated record. The transcript has 3 exons. Lineage: Eukaryota; Viridiplantae; Streptophyta; Magnoliopsida; Vitales; Vitaceae.